GAUGAACGCUGGCGGCGUGCCUAAUACAUGCAAGUCGAGCGAACAGACGAGGAGCUUGCUCCUUUGACGUUAGCGGCGGACGGGUGAGUAACACGUGGGUAACCUACCUAUAAGACUGGGAUAACUUCGGGAAACCGGAGCUAAUACCGGAUAAUAUUUCGAACCGCAUGGUUCGAUAGUGAAAGAUGGCUUUGCUAUCACUUAUAGAUGGACCUGCGCCGUAUUAGCUAGUUGGUAAGGUAACGGCUUACCAAGGCAACGAUACGUAGCCGACCUGAGAGGGUGAUCGGCCACACUGGAACUGAGACACGGUCCAGACUCCUACGGGAGGCAGCAGUAGGGAAUCUUCCGCAAAGGGCGAAAGCCUGACGGAGCAACGCCGCGUGAGUGAUGAAGGUCUUCGGAUCGUAAAACUCUGUUAUUAGGGAAGAACAAACGUGUAAGUAACUGUGCACGUCUUGACGGUACCUAAUCAGAAAGCCACGGCUAACUACGUG
This 497-nucleotide ribosomal RNA is filed under the name uncultured bacterium. Its description in RNAcentral is "partial 16S ribosomal RNA". It matches the Rfam family "Bacterial small subunit ribosomal RNA", at positions 28 to 507 of the family's 1533-position model. The record is from RNAcentral.